Molecule: ribosomal RNA, 532 nt
Filed under: Marsenia sp. MNHN IM 2013-84209
Lineage: Eukaryota; Metazoa; Mollusca; Gastropoda; Littorinimorpha; Velutinidae
Also listed under: 1 other name
Description: partial large subunit ribosomal RNA
Rfam family: Bacterial large subunit ribosomal RNA
Source: RNAcentral
AUGGCUCUCUGUAAGUAAUAAAUGGAGAGUCUGGCCUGCCCAGUGACUGUCAUGUUAAACGGCCGCGGUACUCUGACCGUGCGAAGGUAGCAUAAUCAUUUGUCUUAUAAUUGAAGUCUGGAAUGAAUGGCUGAACAAGAGCGAAGCUGUCUCUAAGUACACUAUAAAAUUUUAUGAUUGAGUUAAAAAGCUCAAAUCGAAUUAAAAGACGAGAAGACCCUAUCGAGCUUAAGGAAAAUAAAAGAUCUUUUAACAUUAAUGUAUAAUAUUUGUCUAUAAAACUUUAGUUGGGGCGACUCGAGAACAGUAAAAGCUUCUUGUAAUUAGAAUAAAUUUACUUAUGGUAGAUCCACUCCUAGUGAUCAAAAGAAUUAGUUACCGUAGGGAUAACAGCAUAAUCUUUUUUGAGAGCUCAAAUCGAAAAAAAUGUUUGUGACCUCGAUGUUGGACCAAGGUAUCCUAAGGAUGUAGAAGUCUUUAAGGGUUGGUCUGUUCGACCAUUAAAACCUUACGUGAUCUGAGUUCAGACCGG